Molecule: ribosomal RNA, 330 nt
Filed under: uncultured eukaryote
Lineage: Eukaryota
Description: partial 18S ribosomal RNA
Rfam family: Eukaryotic small subunit ribosomal RNA
Source: RNAcentral
CCCUUAGAUGUUCUGGGCCGCACGCGCGCUACACUGAUGCAUUCAACGAGUCUAAAACCUGGUCUGAUAGGGCUGGGUAAUCUUUUGAAAGUGCAUCGUGAUUGGGAUAGAUGAUUGCAAUUCUUCAUCUUCAACGAGGAAUGCCUAGUAAACGCAAGUCAUCAGCUUGCAUUGAUUACGUCCCUGCCCUUUGUACACACCGCCCGUCGCCCCUACCGAUUGAAUGAUCCGAUGAAUACCAUGGAUUGAGAGUACGAAUGGGUUCGCUCAUUUCUGCUGCUCGAGAAGUGGAGUAAAUCUUAUCAUUUAGAGGAAGGAGAAGUCGUAACA